GACGUAGGGGGCCAGCGUUGUUCGGAAUUACUGGGUGUAAAGGGUUCGUAGGCGGUGUGGCAAGUUGGGAGUGAAAUCUCUGGGCUCAACCCAGAGGCUGCUUCCAAAACUGCUGUGCUUGAGUGUGGGAGAGGCGCGUGGAAUUGCAGGUGUAGCGGUGAAAUGCGUAGAUAUCUGCAGGAACACCCGUGGCGAAAGCGAGUCUCUGGACAUUUCCUGACGCUGAGGCACGAAAGCCAGGGGAGCAAACGGG
RNAcentral lists this ribosomal RNA (253 nucleotides) under uncultured bacterium. RNAcentral's name for it is "partial 16S ribosomal RNA". It matches the Rfam family "Bacterial small subunit ribosomal RNA", at positions 524 to 776 of the family's 1533-position model. The record is from RNAcentral.